RNAcentral lists this ribosomal RNA (467 nucleotides) under uncultured beta proteobacterium. RNAcentral describes it as "bacterial SSU rRNA". It matches the Rfam family "Bacterial small subunit ribosomal RNA", at positions 8 to 473 of the family's 1533-position model. The record is from RNAcentral. Lineage: Bacteria; Pseudomonadati; Pseudomonadota; Betaproteobacteria.
AGAGUUUGAUCCUGGCUCAGGUUGAACGCUAGCGGGAUGCCUUACACAUGCAAGUCGAACGGCAGCACGGACUUCGGUCUGGUGGCGAGUGGCGAACGGGUGAGUAAUGUAUCGGAACGUGCCCAGUAGCGGGGGAUAACUACUCGAAAGAGUAGCUAAUACCGCAUACGCCCUACGGGGGAAAGGGGGGGAUCGCAAGACCUCUCACUAUUGGAGCGGCCGAUAUCGGAUUAGCUAGUUGGUGGGGUAAAGGCCUACCAAGGCGACGAUCCGUAGCUGGUUUGAGAGGACGACCAGCCACACUGGGACUGAGACACGGCCCAGACUCCUACGGGAGGCAGCAGUGGGGAAUUUUGGACAAUGGGGGCAACCCUGAUCCAGCCAUCCCGCGUGUGCGAUGAAGGCCUUCGGGUUGUAAAGCACUUUUGGCAGGAAAGAAAUCGCACGGGAUAAUACCUCGUGUGGAU